RNAcentral lists this transfer RNA (65 nucleotides) under Dipodomys ordii (Ord's kangaroo rat). It matches the Rfam family "tRNA". From Rfam's summary of the family: Transfer RNA (tRNA) molecules are approximately 80 nucleotides in length. Their secondary structure includes four short double-helical elements and three loops (D, anti-codon, and T loops). The record is from Rfam by way of RNAcentral. Lineage: Eukaryota; Metazoa; Chordata; Mammalia; Rodentia; Heteromyidae.
GGUGGCUCAGUGGUAGAGCGCUUGCCUUCCACGCCUGAGGCCCUGGGUUCAAUUUCUCAGUACCA